GAAAUCCAUUUUUUCCAGAGUUGGGUACUGAUACUUCCCUUGCUCAUGUAUUCUUUUCAGGAAGUGCAUUUGCCGAAUGGUUAAGAGCCCAGACUCUGAAGUCAGCACUAUAGCUCUGUCACUUACAGCCUUGUAUAUCCCUUGUAGAUACUGCAUGGUCGAAGUAAGCAUGGAUUUGGGACUGACUGAGGGAUGUGAAGAAGAACAAAGGAGUCAGGUAACCAAGGGUGGUAGUCUUUGGAGGGAUUCGCUACGUAAUCUGGAGAUGAGAGGGCACAGGGGUCAUGAAGUGUAGACAGAUUAGAAGGGGUGAAGGGACGAGGCUCUUUGUGAAGGUGAAAAGAAAGCUUAGUGGAUGUUAGGGUCAGAUGUUGGUUUUCUGAGUUUAAGCUUUCAGAAGAAGAAUAACUCUGGGAUUCUGGACAAAGAGAUAGUUUGGAAUGUGACCAUGGAUGUGGGUUGCUAGAAUACAGGCGAAGGUCACUGGAGUUGAGGUGAUUUAGAGACCUUUGAUUAUAGAGUACAGGUGAGUCACUGAUUUAGAAACUAACAUUAUUAAAAAGUUGGCAGGAAAGGAAAAAAUAAUUUGUCCUGUUUGUUCAUUCACCUGGAUUUAUUCAACAAACACUGAUCAGUAUGUAUUUGUCUUAGUAUUGCUGCUGCUGUGCUAAGUCAUUUCAGUCGUGUCUGACUCUGUGCGACCCCAUAGACAGCAGCCCACCAGACUCCCCUGUCCCUGUGAUUCUCCAGGCAAGAACAUUGGAGUGGGUUGCCAUUUCCUUCUCCAAUGCAUGAAAGUGAAAAGUGAAAGUGAAGUCGCUCAGUUGUGUCUGACUCUUCGCGACCCCAUGGAAUGCAGCCUACUGGGCUCCUCCGUCCAUGGGAUUUUCCAGGCAAGAGUACUGGAGUGGGGUGCCAUUGCCUUCUCUGGUCUUAGUCUUAAGAACAUUCAAAUAACUUGACUGUAUCAGUUUGUGUCCAGAAUCUAUUCUGGAGUGAUUCAAGUAUAAAAAGACAGACUAUGUAGCAAUCUUUAAAGGCUUUUACUUAUAAGACUAAACACUUUUUGAGAUAACUGCAUAUUCAUAUGCAGUGGUAAGAAAUAAUACAGAGAGGUUUUUGUUUACCCUUCACCUGGAUUCCCACAAGAGGAACAUUUUGUAGAAGAAUAACACAGUAUCACAACCAGGAAAAUGACACUGAUACAAUCCAAUGACUAACUUUCACCAGUUUUGCAUGCAUUUGUUUGUGAUAUGUGUGCACAUAGUUCUGUGCAGUUUCACUGCAUAUGCAGAUUUGUGUGGCCACCCCCACAGUCAAGACACGAAUCUGCUGCUGCUGCUGCUAAGUCGCUUCAGUCGUGUCCGACUCUGUGCGACCCCAUAGACGGCAGCCCACCAGGCUCCCCCAUCCCUGGGAUUCUCUAGGCAAGAACACUGGAGUGGGUUGCCAUUUCCUUCUCCAAUGCAUGAAAGUGAAAAGUGAAAGUGAAGUCGCUCAGUUGUGUCUGACUCUUCGCGACCCCAUGGAAUGCAGCCUACUGGGCUCCUCCGUCCAUGGGAUUUUCCAGGCAAGAGUACUGGAGUGGGGUGCCAUUGCCUUCUCUGGUCUUAGUCUUAAGAACAUUCAAAU
Molecule: long non-coding RNA, 1632 nt
Filed under: Bos grunniens (domestic yak)
Lineage: Eukaryota; Metazoa; Chordata; Mammalia; Artiodactyla; Bovidae
Description: lncRNA (ENSBGRG00000019953.1)
Source: RNAcentral